This 265-nucleotide ribosomal RNA is filed under the name uncultured prokaryote. RNAcentral describes it as "partial 16S ribosomal RNA". It matches the Rfam family "Bacterial small subunit ribosomal RNA", at positions 524 to 788 of the family's 1533-position model. The record is from RNAcentral.
UACGAAGGGUGCAAGCGUUACUCGGAAUUACUGGGCGUAAAGCGUGCGUAGGUGGUUCGUUAAGUCUGAUGUGAAAGCCCCGGGCUCAACCUGGGAAUUGCAUUGGAUACUGGCGGGCUAGAGUACGGUAGAGGGUGGCGGAAUUCCUGGUGUAGCAGUGAAAUGCAUAGAGAUCAGGAGGAACAUCCGUGGCGAAGGCGGCCACCUGGACCAGUACUGACACUGAGGCACGAAAGCGUGGGGAGCAAACAGGAUUAGAUACCCU